Long non-coding RNA from Hypanus sabinus (Atlantic stingray), 4378 nucleotides. RefSeq lists it as uncharacterized. The record is from RefSeq and is a predicted model, not a curated record. The transcript is spliced from 3 exons. NCBI's taxonomy places the organism in Eukaryota, Metazoa, Chordata, Chondrichthyes, Myliobatiformes, Dasyatidae.
AAAUUAAAUCCACGAUCGAGGAAAUGAGGAUCGGACAGAAACAUGUGUCUGAGAUGGGAGGGUUGUGAAAUAAUGUGGAAAAUGGUUUGGGCAGAGUGUGAGGGGCGAGGAGCAAACACCGUGUCACGUGGGCGACCCUCACCGUCACGUGAUUCUCUUUUACCGCAGAUCGGCAACAUCUGCGGGUUUGUCUCCGUGGCCCCGCCCCGGUCUAAUGACGCAAUACGAAAACUGCGCAUGCUCACAGCCGGGGAUGGGCUGCGACUUGUUUCCCCCCGUCUUUGUUGAAGCAGGUCCGGAGCGGUGGUUCGUCUGCGGAAUCCAGAUCGGGAGGGUGUCCUCGCCCCCUCGGGCGGGGAGCCGGGGGUUCGGAUCAUUCUCUCCGGAGCGAGGUCGACAAGAUCCAUGUUUAGACCUGCGGUGAGAGAUUUAUUUGAAGAAACAUUUGUUUCCACAACUGGAAACAAACCACGACCGAAGCUGAGGGAAAAGCAGCAAGUGAACCAGCCCGAGGAUUGAGAGCAUCAACUGGAGAGAACCCACCUGACUCUGAGAAUCCGGUGAUUCAGUCAGGAGAAAGUUUGCUGAGUGUUUACUCAAACACUGGUCCUUUAGACAUUACAUACCUGCACAAAGAAAGAGAAUCGGGGACUGAGAGGUGAACACAUCGAAAUGCACAACAUCAUUGCUGGUUGAACCAGGGAUCCCAGUCUCUGAAAAAGGGGGUGGACUGUUCGGGACUGAGAUGAGGGGAAAUGUCUCCACUCCGAGGCUGAGAAAUGUAUGUAAAUCCCCACCACAGAGGGCGGUGAAGACUCAGUGAUCGUCCUCACCUAAAACAGAGGCCGGCAGGUAUGUGGAGAACGAAGGGAUCGAGGAAAUACGGAUUGGGAAGGAAUAUGUAAUUAAGAUGGGAGAGCAGCCGCCAUCUUGUUAAUCACUGGAGGUGCUGAAUGUCCACCACCUGCUGUUUCCAAAUUGAUAUUUCAGUGUUCCUGUCCAGUAAGGCUGGAGGAUUGUGAAUAGAAAUUAGUGUUUAUAAAUAUAGACUGAUUUAAAUGAAUCCUCCACAUUUCUGGUUUGGGUCUGGAUUGUGUGCUGGACCGGGAUGUGAUUCGAACCCGUGGAUGUGUGAUCCAGUCGGGUGGAGUGAUGGGGACGGGGAAAUACAGAGGGAAAAUUAAAAAUGUAGCUCAGUGUAAAUAUGAAAUCAUGUAGAAAAUGGGGCGAUGGGUUGGGCAGCGUGUGAGGGGCGAGGAGCGGAGUAACGGGAUCACAUGGGAGACCCACCACACGUCAUUUCAUUUUGCCACAGAGCUCCAGCGUCUGCAGGUUUGUUUGCCCACCGCCCUGAUGAUGCAAUUCACGACGCGCAUGCUCAGUCCGGGAUGGGUGAUGAAUUUUCUUUGUGGAAGCAGAUCGGCGGUGGGAUUCGGGAGGGUGACCUCGCCCCUGGGGCGGAGAGCCCGAGACGGAAUAUUCUCUGCGAUGGGCAGCUGGGGGAAAAUCAGAUUCCCAUCGUUGAGUAUUGAUGCCAGUUUCGAGUCAGCAGGUCUCAGUGAGUCCCGUUAACUUCCCCAAACUGUUGUCCUCACUGAGUUACUUCUGAGAAAUGGAAAUAUCGGAGGAUUUAUUGACUACACCAGGAGGUACUGGAAAGACAGUAAUUUGUCAGACGGAGACUCCCAGUAUUUAAAGUUGAGUCUGUUGUUUCCUGUUCUGGUCAUUUUUGGAGAGCUACUUUCUCUGUUGCAAGGAACAGCCCACAGGAUCUGCAGGGAAUGGUGUACGUUUUUCUUUCUCGGGUCACUUCCCCUCAGUUAGAGUUAGUGGCCUCUGGAGCAGAUGGAACAGAUUGAUAGUGGGGUGGGGAGGAUGUUGUGUGCAUUAACUGCAUUAUCCCUGUACAGUGUUGGUUUGAAGAGAAAACUAAUGAAUGUGGGCAUGACAUGCGUGCAAGUUUGUUCAGGCCGUCACUAGGGAUGUCCUUUGGCACCGAAGUUGCUCAUACUGGCCAUAGAACUCCUGGCUAUGGCAAUAAGAAAGCAGACAGUCCUGUCAGGCAUCCAGCUAGGAGAGCAGGAACAUAGAAUAUCCUUAUAUGCUGAUGACAUGAUUCUCUUUUUUAACAAAAUUAUCGGUAGAAUUCCAAACUUAAUGCAAUAGAUUGAAUUGUGACUUAAGAUCAGACAAUGUUAAAUGUUUGUGGGUGGAGUUAAGAAACUGCAAGAGUUAAAAGAAAAGAAACAUUAUUAAAAUCAUAUAUACGCCUCCAAAUAGCAGCCAACAUGUGGGGUUGAUAUUGUUAUGCGAGGUUCAAGAGGCAUUUAAUAAGGAUAAUGUCACAAUUGUAAUGGGGGACAUCAAAAUGCAAGGGGAUUGGAAAAAAUCAGGUUGGUGUUGGAACACAAAAGAGGGAAUUUGUUGAAUACCUUUGAGAUUGUUUUUUUUUUAAGAAGAUUGUUCUUGAGUCUACUCAGGGAAAGGCUUUCUUAGAUUGGGCUUAAGAUAGAUAUGUCCCACAAAAUAAGUCCUCCUCAGAUGGCAGGAGUAGGCAACUUUGUCUGACGUGAAGUUAAAGACUGCAUAAAGGCAAAGGAAAUGCCAUAUAAGUUAGCAUAACUGAAUGGGAAAUGGGCUGAUUAAAAUCCAGCAAAAGGCAACUAAGAAAAGCUAGAAGAAGGGAAAAGAUGAAAUACAAGGUCAAACUAACCAAUAAUAUAAAGCAGGAUAAUAAGCUUUUCUCCCCCCAGUUAUAUAAACAGUAAAAGGGAGGUGCGAGUUGAUGAUAGAACACUGUAAAAUGCUGGUGGUAGAGACAGUAAUGAGGGACAAAGGAAUGUCAGAGGAUGGGUAAUUUGCAUCAGUCCACUGUCGAAGACGGAAGCAGUGUGCGUGAGUUACAAAGGAAAAACGUGCUGAGUAAGCUCAAAGGUCUUAAGGUGGGUAUAUCACCUGGACCAGAUCGACUACAUCCCAAAGCCCUGAGAAAAAUUGCUGUAGAAGUAACGGUCACGAUCUUUCGAGACUCAUUUGAUUCUGGUCAUGGUCCUGGAGAGCUGGAAGAUUGUAAAUGUUAGUCCACUCUUAAAGAAUGGAGAAAAGGAUAUUAUAGGUCAGUUAACUGGCACAUGACCAAGUGGUUAUGGCGUUGGUCUAGUGAUCUGAAGAUAGUUCGAGCCUCAGCUAAGACAGCAUGUUGAGUCCUUGAGCAAGGAACUUAACCACACAUUGUUCUGCGACGACACCCGUGCCAAGCUGUAUCGGGCAUUGCCCUUCCCUUGGACAACAUCAGUGGUAUGGAGUUGGGAGACUUACAGCAUGGGCAACUGCCGGUCUCCCAUGCAACCCUACCCAGGCCUGCACCCUGGAAACUUUCCAAGGCGCAAAUCCAUUGUCUCUCACACUAACGGGUAACUAACUGGACUGCAGGGGAUGGGAAGGUGUAGGAGGCUAUCAUUAAGAAAGAUGUUUAGGGUUUCCUGGAGAAUGAUAGUAAAACAACUCAAAGUUAGCAUGGUUCCUCUGAAGGGGAAUCUUACUAGACAAACCUGUUAGAGUACUUUGAGGAAGUAACACGCAGGGUGCACAAAGGAGAAGUAGUGGAUGACACGCUGAUUUUCAGAAGGUAUUUUUUUGAAAUGUCACUUCUGAGGCUAUUUAACAAGCUAAUAUACAAUGACUUUACUGCUAAGGUACUAGCAUUAAUGUAGGAAUGCUGAACAGGCAGGAAGCGGUGUGUGGGGAAAAAAAAGGGGGGACUUUUCUCUUGAAGAGUGGUGUUCCUCAGGGGCCGGUAUUGCAACAGUUACUUUUCACAUUGUGUAUCGUUAAUUUGUUAAUGGAAUUCAUUGCUCGUGGCAAAGUUUAUGCAUGACACGAAGAUAGGUGGAGGGACAGGUAGUGAUGAGGAAUUAAUGAGAUUGGAGCAGGAUUAGACAAUAUGGAAUGAAAUGUGAAAACAUAGGCAGAAGUAAUACAGGGCUGGGAAAUGAAUGAUAUCCCAUUUUGCAGAAGGACAAUAGUGUGGGCUAUGUUCUAAAUGAGAAGGUUCAAACAUUCCAGGUGCAGAGAGUCAUCAUGCAAGACAACCAGAAAGUAACAUUUACAGAUCUGUUGUAAAGAAGGCAAAUGCAAAGUUGACAUUUAUUUCAAGUGGAAUAGAAUAGAAAAGCAAAGAGAAAAUACAGAGGCUUUGUAAGACAAGUCAGGCUGCUCUUUGUUAUCAUCAGGCUCACAAAUAUGAUUCUGGGAAUAAAGGGGUCAACAUAUCAGGACCGUUUGGCAGGCUUGGGCCAGUACUCACUGGAAUUUAGAAGAUUGCAGAGGGAGACCAUUGAAACAUCUUGAAUGUUGAAAAGACAUGUCCUGCGGAUAU